RNAcentral lists this transfer RNA (74 nucleotides) under bacterium. RNAcentral describes it as "tRNA-Ala". The record is from RNAcentral.
GCUCGUAGCUCAGCUGGCAGAGCGCGGCAUUCGCAUUGCCGAGGUCAAGGGUUCGCUCGCUAUCGCAGCGAGCG